AACAAAUUAUAACAGCCAAAAGAGAAGGGACAACAAACUAUAACAAUCAAAACAGAAAGGACAAAUAUAUCUCAACAAUUCAACAAAGUAAGUUUUAUCUUUUUCUACUAAAUGAGUUUUAUUAGAUGCUGUAUUCGCACCCUUCAUUGCUAAGGUCCGCCGUGAAUUUGCUUUACUUCGCCGUGAAUUGGCUCUCAGCGCUAUGGGAGACUCCACUUCAACCCCUAUGUUCGCUAUCAGCGACGGGGGAGUUUCUGAUCCGGCCCCGAUGAUUUCCGAUGACGCUGCAUCAAUCGAUCCCGGUCACAAAACAAUUCCAAGAGUCGGACAACCCAACAGAGACGACAGCCCAUCGCGAAUCUCCUCGGUAACACCCAUCGGUUCCGUUCCGCCGUUGCUCUCGCCAUCGCCGUUAUUGCGAGCAAUAGCAAAUUCUCCUAUCAAGCCACAGUCGAACUCGAACGCUUCACUGGCAGCCCACUCCAACAAUACCAUUUUUGAGCAACCAGGAAGCUCCAACAAGUGUGCAGGGUCUGGGUUUUACUCCAACCCCGAUGCCUGCUAUCAAUGCUACGGGCGACUCACUUCCAGCCCCGUUGUUGUCGGAUGGCGUUGAAUCGCUAGAUGUUGAUCACAAUCCGCUUCUAUGUUUUGGGAUCCACGACGAGGAAGGCAGCCCACCGCGAAUUCUGUGUCCGCAACGGAUCGAACACCACGAAGCGUCGACAUAGGUUUGGUCGGUGGUAAGACGAUUUGAUCAACCGCAAAAGUAUAAGCCAUUUGUCAGCAGGUUUGUGGUGCAGGGAAAUCUUGAGAUUGAAGUUCAGAGAAGUUGAUGUUAAGUCUGGGCUUCCUGCCACAACAAGUACUGAGAGAUUGGAACUUCUUGACCAUGACAAGCAUAUUCUUAGCAUUAAAAUAAUUGGUGGGGAUCACAGAUUCAAGUCUUCCACAACGCAUUAAACAAUUGAUGAGACAGCUUUAUGGGCAAGAGAAAUUGUUGACGGAUAUCCAACUCAGAAAGGGGAAUCCACAUCAGGUGAACAUCAGUUGGAAUACCACAGGCAAGCAUUUUCAUGUACAGCCCAUCAAACCCUCCAAAAUCUUCAAAUAGCAUUUCAAAUUCCUGGUAUGAGAAUUUAAAAAUUAGAAACAUAAUUGAAAUAGCUAUUUGCUGCAUGCAUAAUCUGUUUAUCUUUCUUUAGCUACAUGCUUGCUUGAGAGUUAUCAGAGGAGGGGUUUGGUCUCGUAUUUGCAAUGCGCUUAUGUCGUAAGAUCCACUUUUAGGAUUAAUAAUUGGAUUUAGGCAGAUUUCCAAUAUAUAAAUCAUGUGCCAAUUGCCAACUAUGACGACCUCUUAUCCUUUCGAACUGUCUCUCUACCUUAGCUGGCUAGCUAUGAACUUGAUGAUAUUAUCAUGAUGUCAAUCAAUUUAAUCAUUGAAUUACUGCUUUUAUUUCAAAUGGUGGCUUGUUUAUUUCAAAUGGUAGCUACAAGCCAACCUUAUCUUCCAUGUACUUAAGCUUUCAAUUUGCUUUGAGAACUAUUAAAUGUAAUGAACUUUGGUAUUGCCUUUGUUCCCUUAAUCUGGAUAUUGCCCUUGUUUCUUAUAUCUUCUCUGCAACCUAUUGGAGUCUAAGUGAGAAAUGGCUCAUUUCUUAUGUUUUGUCACAUGGCAGCUCACAACAGUGCUCUCCUAAGGUCCUCUUUUUGAGGACCUGUAAGGACCUCUUUUAUAUUAGUCAUAGGAUUAAUCUAAUGGUAGAAACACUAUUUAGUUUAUAUAAUCUUGUUACACUAAAACAAAAUCAAAACACCAAAAAAAAAAAAAAAAUAAGGUUCACGCUCAAAUUUUCGACGCUGAAGGAGAGCAACGAGACCCGAUUUCAUAGUGCCCUCGGAAAAUUAAAAUUUUCUUCGAAGCUAUGAAAAGCUAUUUCCUUUGUGGUUGUAUUGAUUUCAAUUUCUCCCAAUUUCUCCCUCCUUGCUGUUGAAAAAAAAGUAGAAUGGAAACUGUAAUUUAAUCGAGAGAACCAUUCUUCUUUUAAUUGGGUUUCAUCUAAUGCUCUCCUAAUAGCACCAUUCUUUUUUAUAUUCCUUUGUGGUGAUGGUUCAACCUUUUCUCCGUUCUUCCUUUUUUUUUUUGCUUCACUUUUAAUUUUAAUUGCAGAUUGUUGUAUGAUAGAAGAACAAGCUUCCUAAGGACAAUCUCGAACUGGUAGCGAUGAUCUUCAAGUGUGGGAGCAUAGCAAUAGAGAGGGAGGGUUGGGACGACGUCCUUAACAAAAGAUUUCCUCUGAGAUUGAACGGGUUGCAAUUUUGCUCCUCUCUCGCGAAGCAGGAAUGAAGGAUAAGCGUGAAGCCUUUUAGCAUGUUUUGAUUUUGUUUAGGUGUAAUAGGUUUAUAUAAACUCAAAAUUUUUUUUACCGUAAGAUUAAUCCUAUGACUCAUAUAAAAGAGGUCCUUACAGGUCUUCAGAAAAAGGACCUUAGGAGAGCAUUGUUGUGGCAGCUCAUAUUUAGAACAAAGAGGGUGUGCUUUACCACAAGGAUAUUUGUCUUGCAAAGUAAUACUUUCCCAUCCAAAAGUUUGUGUACAGAUGUCGCAGUUGAUCACUCGUCGUCGAAGUGUGACCAAUGCGCCUCCGCAUUAUCAGCACCUAUUGCUUUAGCCGUCGUCAUGGCAAGGUUGUUCGGUGUAUGGGAAGGCCUGGGUUCGUGAGAUGGGUGCCUCCUCUUCCAGAUUGACCACAGGUGCCUCCUCUUCUAGAUUGACCACAGGAUAGGUUAUCGCCCUGAUGGAGGAAGUGGCAACCUUAAAAGGUUAGCUUGCGGCCCAAGACGAGAAGAUGAGUAUGAACUUACGGGCCUUACAGAUGUUCGGCCUCCAAAUCCCGAUACUAGCACUUGAUCUUGCUCCACUUUCGACCUCCCAACCACUUUGCCUAGCCGAUACCCAGUAGCCUGAUGUAUCAAACCUAGAAGACUACUUAUAGUUUUUUCUUUUAUGUUCAGGCAUCUUGUAUGUACAUUUUUAUAUAUUUUAUAAUUAAAUAUUUUUUCUUGGUUUA
Molecule: long non-coding RNA, 3070 nt
Organism: Pyrus x bretschneideri (Chinese white pear)
Lineage: Eukaryota; Viridiplantae; Streptophyta; Magnoliopsida; Rosales; Rosaceae
Exons: 4
Source: RefSeq, a predicted model, not a curated record